RNAcentral lists this ribosomal RNA (274 nucleotides) under uncultured prokaryote. RNAcentral's name for it is "partial 16S ribosomal RNA". It matches the Rfam family "Bacterial small subunit ribosomal RNA", at positions 524 to 796 of the family's 1533-position model. The record is from RNAcentral.
UACGUAGGGCGCAAGCGUUAUCCGGAAUUAUUGGGCGUAAAGAGCUCGUAGGCGGUUUGUCGCGUCUGCCGUGAAAGUCCGGGGCUCAACUCCGGAUCUGCGGUGGGUACGGGCAGACUAGAGUGAUGUAGGGGAGACUGGAAUUCCUGGUGUAGCGGUGAAAUGCGCAGAUAUCAGGAGGAACACCGAUGGCGAAGGCAGGUCUCUGGGCAUUAACUGACGCUGAGGAGCGAAAGCAUGGGGAGCGAACAGGAUUAGAAACCCGUAGUAGUCC